AACGAACGCUGGCGGCAUGCCUAACACAUGCAAGUCGAACGAGACCUUCGGGUCUAGUGGCGCACGGGUGCGUAACGCGUGGGAACCUGCCCUUAGGUUCGGAAUAACUCCCCGAAAGGGGUGCUAAUACCGGAUAAUGUCUUCGGACCAAAGAUUUAUCGCCUUUGGAUGGGCCCGCGUUGGAUUAGCUAGUUGGUAGGGUAAAAGCCUACCAAGGCGACGAUCCAUAGCUGGUCUGAGAGGAUGAUCAGCCACACUGGGACUGAGACACGGCCCAGACUCCUACGGGAGGCGGCAGGGGGGAAUAUUGGACAAUGGGCGAAAGCCUGAUCCAGCAAGGCCGCGUGAGUGAUGAAGGCCUUAGGGUUGUAAAGCUCUUUUACCCGGGAUGAUAAUGACAGUACCGGGAGAAUAAGCUCCGGCUAACUCCGG
This 432-nucleotide ribosomal RNA is filed under the name uncultured bacterium. RNAcentral describes it as "partial 16S ribosomal RNA". It matches the Rfam family "Bacterial small subunit ribosomal RNA", at positions 29 to 506 of the family's 1533-position model. The record is from RNAcentral.